CCAAGGAGUUUAUCGUGUGCGCAAGUCAUUGGGUGUUCAAACCUAAAGGCGCAAUGAAAGUGAAUGCCUCCGCAAGGAGUUGAUGUGUAACACUGUUGGCCACGGCUGGCGGGUGCAACAUAGCCCCAUUCGGAUUGCUUGCAAUCGGGUGGCGGAAGAGCGUACGCGACGAGACCCGAAAGAUGGUGAACUAUUCCUGAGCAGGAUGAAGCCAGAGGAAACUCUGGUGGAAGUCCGAAGCGAUUCUGACGUGCAAAUCGAUCGUCUGACUUGGGUAUAGGGGCGAAAGACUAAUCGAAC
This 300-nucleotide ribosomal RNA is filed under the name Pratylenchus hexincisus. Its description in RNAcentral is "eukaryotic LSU rRNA". It matches the Rfam family "Eukaryotic large subunit ribosomal RNA", at positions 666 to 940 of the family's 3401-position model. The record is from RNAcentral. Lineage: Eukaryota; Metazoa; Nematoda; Chromadorea; Rhabditida; Pratylenchidae.